Molecule: long non-coding RNA, 1097 nt
Filed under: Gossypium raimondii (Peruvian cotton)
Lineage: Eukaryota; Viridiplantae; Streptophyta; Magnoliopsida; Malvales; Malvaceae
Description: long non-coding RNA (GRAI_LNC005201)
Source: RNAcentral
UUUCAAGAUCACAUGUUUACCAGACCAGAUGGUUAAACUGUACACAUGCCAGCUAGAAACACAACUUAUAUAACAUAUGUACCAAUACUAGAGUCCUGAAUAUUACAAACCAGAAGGACAAAAGGAAAAAAAUGAGCAACAUAAAUCCGAAUGAGAGAGAUUUGUACUAAAGACCAGGGCCUUUUCUGCUCGGUCCGGAAGCCGAAGUUGCCGCUUGCUACUCCUGCUUUGAUAAAACCCAACCGCUGUGACCUUCAGCUGAAUUUGAAGUCCUAACAUAUUUGAUCUCGGGAACAGCUUCCUCACUUGCAUCUCCAGUCAUCUUUGUUGAUCGAAGAGUUCUACAGCUGUAAUACCCAAUUUUAAGCCCGGGCCAAAUAAAUAAACAUCAAAAUAAUAAAAUAAUAAACAGUCCAUUUUUACAUGUAUGUGGCCCAAUUAUACUAACGGCCCAAAUACCUAGCCCUAACAGCACACAUCCGAAAAAACCUAGCCCUUUGCCCCAGCGCCGCACGUCAGCAAGGCUCCCUCGCACGCCUCCGCCGCAGACGAAUCGGGCCACGUCGCCCCCGCACAACGCACGUUCUCCUCCAGUGCAUCUGUAACAAACCACGAACAGCACUAGAAUAACAGAAAUAUAGAAAAAGAGAUUGUUUUUUUUUCUCUGUAAAGAUUCGGUUAUAAAAACCGAUGGACAUCUGCAAAAUUUUUUUUUUACGCAUAUUGAAGAAAGAAAACAAAAAAAAAAUCGAGGCAGAAAAGUUUUUUUGAUAGGUGAUUUUCUUCGUCUUUUAUUUCUUUCUCUUUUAUCUCUUUGAUUUUUUUUUCUUGGUGCACCAAACGAAAAUAAAAGGAAGAAGAGAGGUCCUUACCAACAUAGGCGCGCCGUCGACAUCCUGAUUUGCUUCGUCAAAAUCUAAGUUGAAAAGGGGGGGUUUCGGCAUGAAGAGCAGAGGGGAGGAUACAGCAGUUCUUGCGGCUGCUGUUACUGAAAAUGGAGUAGAAUAUCAGAUUUGCUUCAAAACGACGCCGUUUAAGCUCAGUUCAAAUAGCUUCAAAACGACGCCGUUUAAGAGGCGAGACCCGAUGAUCCGACC